RNAcentral lists this ribosomal RNA (252 nucleotides) under uncultured bacterium. Its description in RNAcentral is "partial 16S ribosomal RNA". It matches the Rfam family "Bacterial small subunit ribosomal RNA", at positions 524 to 775 of the family's 1533-position model. The record is from RNAcentral.
GACGUAGGGCGCGAGCGUUGUCCGGAUUUAUUGGGCGUAAAGAGCUCGUAGGCGGCUUGUUGCGUCGACCGUGAAAACCCGGGGCUCAACUUCGGGCUUGCGGUCGAUACGGGCGGGCUAGAGUUCGGUAGGGGAGACUGGAAUUCCUGGUGUAGCGGUGAAAUGCGCAGAUAUCAGGAGGAACACCGGUGGCGAAGGCGGGUCUCUGGGCCGAUACUGACGCUGAGGAGCGAAAGCGUGGGGAGCGAACAG